RNAcentral lists this ribosomal RNA (460 nucleotides) under uncultured bacterium. RNAcentral's name for it is "partial 16S ribosomal RNA". It matches the Rfam family "Bacterial small subunit ribosomal RNA", at positions 338 to 795 of the family's 1533-position model. The record is from RNAcentral.
CCUACGGGAGGCAGCAGUGAGGAAUAUUGGUCAAUGGACGAGAGUCUGAACCAGCCAAGUAGCGUGAAGGAUGACUGCCCUAUGGGUUGUAAACUUCUUUUAUAUAGGAAUAAAAUGUUCCACGUGUGGGAUUUUGUAUGUACCAUAUGAAUAAGGAUCGGCUAACUCCGUGCCAGCAGCCGCGGUAAUACGGAGGAUCCGAGCGUUAUCCGGAUUUAUUGGGUUUAAAGGGAGCGUAGGUGGGUUGUUAAGUCAGUUGUGAAAGUUUGCGGCUCAACCGUAAAAUUGCAGUUGAAACUGGCAGUCUUGAGUACAGUAGAGGUGGGCGGAAUUCGUGGUGUAGAGGUGAAAUGCUUAGAUAUCACGAAGAACUCCGAUUGCGAAGGCAGUUCACUGGACUGCAACUGACACUGAGGCUCGAAAGUGUGGGUAUCAAACAGGAUUAGAUACCCUUGUAGUC